This 445-nucleotide ribosomal RNA is filed under the name uncultured bacterium. RNAcentral's name for it is "SSU rRNA". It matches the Rfam family "Bacterial small subunit ribosomal RNA", at positions 26 to 518 of the family's 1533-position model. The record is from RNAcentral.
AGAAUGAACGCUGGCGGCAUGCCUAACACAUGCAAGUCGAACGAAGCCUUCGGGCUUAGUGGCGCACGGGUGCGUAACGCGUGGGAAUCUGCCCUUGGGUUCGGAAUAACAGUUAGAAAUGACUGCUAAUACCGAAUGAUGUCGUAAGACCAAAGAUUUAUCGCCCAGGGAUGAGCCCGCGUAGGAUUAGCUAGUUGGUGUGGUAAAGGCGCACCAAGGCGACGAUCCUUAGCUGGUCUGAGAGGAUGAUCAGCCACACUGGGACUGAGACACGGCCCAGACUCCUACGGGAGGCAGCAGUGGGGAAUAUUGGACAAUGGGCGAAAGCCUGAUCCAGCAAUGCCGCGUGAGUGAUGAAGGCCUUAGGGUUGUAAAGCUCUUUACCCGGGAUGAUAAUGACAGUACCGGGAGAAUAAGCUCCGGCUAACUCCGCGCCAGCAGCCGC